This 488-nucleotide ribosomal RNA is filed under the name uncultured bacterium. RNAcentral describes it as "bacterial SSU rRNA". It matches the Rfam family "Bacterial small subunit ribosomal RNA", at positions 21 to 507 of the family's 1533-position model. The record is from RNAcentral.
GGCUCAGAUUGAACGCUGGCGGCAUGCCUUACACAUGCAAGUCGAACGGCAGCACGGGGCAACCUGGUGGCGAGUGGCGAACGGGUGAGUAAUGCAUCGGAACGUGCCAUUGAGUGGGGAUAACGUAGCGAAAGUUGCGCUAAUACCGCAUAUUCUGUGAGCAGGAAAGCAGGGGACCGCAAGGCCUUGCGCUCUUUGAGCGGCCGAUGUCAGAUUAGCUAGUUGGUGAGGUAACGGCUUACCAAGGCGACGAUCUGUAGCGGGUCUGAGAGGAUGAUCCGCCACACUGGAACUGAGACACGGUCCAGACUCCUACGGGAGGCAGCAGUGGGGAAUUUUGGACAAUGGGCGCAAGCCUGAUCCAGCCAUGCCGCGUGAGUGAAGAAGGCCUUCGGGUUGUAAAGCUCUUUCGGCCGGGAAGAAAUUGCAUGGGCUAAUACCCUGUGUGGAUGACGGUACCGGAAUAAGAAGCACCGGCUAACUACGUG